GACAGAGGGUGCAAGCGUUGUUCGGAAUUAUUGGGCGUAAAGCGCGCGUAGGCGGCCGGGUAAGUCGAAUGUGAAAUCCCAUGGCUUAACCAUGGAAGUGCAUUCGAAACUACCUAGCUCGAGUAUCGGAGAGGGUGGUGGAAUUCCCAGUGUAGAGGUGAAAUUCGUAGAUAUUGGGAGGAACACCAGUGGCGAAGGCGACCGCCUGGACGAUAACUGACGCUGAGGCGCGAGAGCGUGGGGAGCAAACAGG
RNAcentral lists this ribosomal RNA (253 nucleotides) under uncultured bacterium. RNAcentral's name for it is "partial 16S ribosomal RNA". It matches the Rfam family "Bacterial small subunit ribosomal RNA", at positions 524 to 776 of the family's 1533-position model. The record is from RNAcentral.